This 103-nucleotide microRNA precursor is filed under the name Marmota monax (woodchuck). The record is from RNAcentral. Lineage: Eukaryota; Metazoa; Chordata; Mammalia; Rodentia; Sciuridae.
AGAGGAAUAGCUGGGUCAAAUGGUGGUUCCAUUACCAGCUUACCAAGGAAUCUUCAUAUUGCUUUCCAAAUUGGCUGCACCAAUUUGCAGUCCCACCAGCAGU